RNAcentral lists this ribosomal RNA (329 nucleotides) under Triticum aestivum (bread wheat). RNAcentral's name for it is "partial small subunit ribosomal RNA". The record is from RNAcentral. Lineage: Eukaryota; Viridiplantae; Streptophyta; Magnoliopsida; Poales; Poaceae.
UCAAAGUAGCACCAUUAUCUUCAUUAUAGAGAAUCUCUUAUUUUGUCAAUUUCAUAUACUAGUGGGAAUUUUCAUUAUAGAACUUGGCUUGUAUAUUCCAACAAUGGGCUUCCUCAAAUGCCCUAGGUCUUCGUGAGCAAGCAAGUUGGAUGCACACCCACUUAGUUUCUUUUGUUGAGCUUUCAUACAUUUAUAUCUCUAGUGCAUCCAUUGCAUGGCAAUCCCUACUCACUCACAUUGAUAUCUAUUGAUGGGAAUCUCCAUAGCCCAUUAAUAUGCCUAGUUGAUGUGAGACCAUCUUCCUCUUUUUUGUCUUCUCCACAACCACC